AUUUUAUCCAGAGUGGCGGAGGGACUGGCCCUAUGAAGCCCGGCAACCGGUAAUACGGUGCCAAUUCCUGCGGAAGCAAUUCCGAGAGAUAAAGA
Molecule: regulatory RNA element, 95 nt
Organism: Megasphaera sp.
Lineage: Bacteria; Bacillati; Bacillota; Negativicutes; Veillonellales; Veillonellaceae
Rfam family: SAM riboswitch aptamer (S box leader)
About the family: The SAM riboswitch is found upstream of a number of genes which code for proteins involved in methionine or cysteine biosynthesis in Gram-positive bacteria.
Source: Rfam